GACGAACGCUGGCGGCGUGCUUAACACAUGCAAGUCGAACGGAAAGGCCCUGCUUUUGUGGGGUGCUCGAGUGGCGAACGGGUGAGUAACACGUGAGUAACCUGCCCUUGACUUUGGGAUAACUUCAGGAAACUGGGGCUAAUACCGGAUAGGAGCUCCUGCUGCAUGGUGGGGGUUGGAAAGUUUCGGCGGUUGGGGAUGGACUCGCGGCUUAUCAGCUUGUUGGUGGGGUAGUGGCUUACCAAGGCUUUGACGGGUAGCCGGCCUGAGAGGGUAACCGGCCACAUUGGGACUGAGAUACGGCCCAGACUCCUACGGGAGGCAGCAGUGGGGAAUAUUGCACAAUGGGCGGAAGCCUGAUGCAGUAACGCCGCGUGCGGGAUGACGGCCUUCGGGUUGUAAACCGCUUUCGCCUGUGACGAAGCGUGAGUGACGGUAAUGGGUAAAGAAGCACCGGCUAACUACGUG
RNAcentral lists this ribosomal RNA (468 nucleotides) under uncultured bacterium. RNAcentral's name for it is "partial 16S ribosomal RNA". It matches the Rfam family "Bacterial small subunit ribosomal RNA", at positions 28 to 507 of the family's 1533-position model. The record is from RNAcentral.